UUAAAAUUCUGUUCAUUUAUUUCUUAUAUGGGCUAACAUAAGACACACACAGCAUCAAUAAUUUCCUUCUAAUAGCUGAUAUUAACUUUAAUUCUCUUACCCCUGCAAAAUAUAAUUCAAUAUUACUUUACACACCUUUAAUUAAACUCCAACAUGCUCCAACAUGCUAUCUCAUACAUGACUAAAGACUCAAAUCAGAAAAAUUGCAACAUCUGGUUGACCUCAACUCUUUUACAGGAGUUAGGCAAGCUAUUGGGUCUGACCAUUGUGGCUCCUCUCCUACUGUUGUAUGGUCCAAGAGAUGGAGAUCUUUUUUUUUUUUUUUUUUUUGAGAUGGAGUCUCGCUCCAUUGCCUAGGCUGGAGUGCAGUGGUGCAAUCUUGGCUCACUGUAACCUCUGCCUCCCGGGUUCAAGCAAUUCUCCUGUCUUAGCCUCCUAAGUAGCUGGGACUACAGGUGCCCGUCACCAUGCCCAGCUGAUUUUUGUAUUUUCAGUAGAGAUGAGGUUUCACUUUGUUGGUCAGGCUGGUCUUGAACUCCUGACCUCAGGUCAUCCACCCACCUUGGCCUCCCAAAGUGCUGGGAUUACAGGUGUGAGCUACCGAGCCUGGCCAGAGAUGGAGAUCUUGAGAGAUUAUAAAGUUGCUGGGUUGUGCCACGUAUCUACUGAGCAGUGUAAGGAAUGCAUGAGCACCUGGGCAAAAAUUCCUCUCUACUCAUUAGUGGCUACAUAGCACUUACAGACCCAUAUCCUUGCUAAGAGAUAAUUUGAGCUCUUAACUCUGUCUUGCCAAGGCUGAUAUCGAUGUAAUUAUUGUUUGAUUCUACUAUAAGACUGACUUCAGUUUCAGCUUUUUAAUUUGUCCAUUUCACUUCUCAUUUAUCAGCUUCUAUUGCAGAUGUGAAGUUUAGUGUUUCUUUGCUCACUCUUUUACUGGGAAACUCUUCUAGCGGAAAGCCUGUCAUCUGUUGUGAAGGAGAGCUGGUGUUGACUUGAAGCAACAGAGUUGGUGGUCCAGUGGCCAUUGUCCUGUGUUAGGAGCAGGUGGUCUCACUAAGCUCCAUGUGUUUGGAAAUUUCUCUGACCAGUGCUUGUGCUGCUAAAGGAAGAAGAGCUCAAGCUGCACUCCUUGUUUCCAGGUCAAUCUGCUGAACCUGGGAAAAUCCCCAGGGGCUAGCUUGAACUUCUUCCUGCUUUUCUCUCCAUGGUGGAUUUUAAACAUAGGGGAUUUUCCUCAUUCAUCUAUUUAUAUUUCCAACAGCUGCUAUAAGAAAGGAGAAAAGGCACAUUUUAUAGUAUAUAUUUUUAGAAGCAGUGACAUAGUUUCUCAAAGGAUAACAGUUAAAAUUUUGGUCCAAAGACUAUAAUUGCUCUUAACUUGGUGGGUGUGUGUGUGUAUAUUAUGUAUAUAUGUGUGUGCGUAUAUAUGUUUUUGAGUAUGUGUGUAUACAUUUUUUACUAAAGUGAAAAACAAAAAAAUUAAGAUCUACUCUUGUUCCAUUCACAUUAAAACUUGUGUUUAUAUUUAACAACCCAAUCCACCAUCUGUUGAAGAUAAUGUAAUUGAACGAUACUCCAGAAAAGUUGUCCUAUGGGUUUUUCACAUUUUUUUCCACAUUUUUAACAGGACUUGAAACCUAGGACUGUAAAUAAAUGAUAUCCUAUGGUUUCAUUCAGUGUAAU
This is a long non-coding RNA of Macaca fascicularis (crab-eating macaque), 1683 nucleotides long. The record is from Ensembl. NCBI's taxonomy places the organism in Eukaryota, Metazoa, Chordata, Mammalia, Primates, Cercopithecidae.